GACGAACGCUGGCGGCGUGCUUAACACAUGCAAGUCGAACGGUAAGGCCCUUUCGGGGGUACACGAGUGGCGAACGGGUGAGUAACACGUGGGUGAUCUGCCCUGCACUUUGGGAUAAGCCUGGGAAACUGGGUCUAAUACCGGAUAGGACUACGCGAUGCAUGUCGUGUGGUGGAAAGCUUUUGCGGUGUGGGAUGGGCCCGCGGCCUAUCAGCUUGUUGGGGGGGUGAUGGCCUACCAAGGCGACGACGGGUAGCCGGCCUGAGAGGGUGUCCGGCCACACUGGGACUGAGAGACGGCCCAGACUCCUACGGGAGGCAGCAGUGGGGAAUAUUGCACAAUGGGCGCGAGCCUGAUGCAGCGACGCCGCGUGGGGGAUGACGGCCUUCGGGUUGUAAACCCCUUUCAGCACAGACGAAGCGUAAGUGACGGUAUGUGCAGAAGAAGCACCGGCCAACUACGUG
This 464-nucleotide ribosomal RNA is filed under the name uncultured bacterium. Its description in RNAcentral is "partial 16S ribosomal RNA". It matches the Rfam family "Bacterial small subunit ribosomal RNA", at positions 28 to 507 of the family's 1533-position model. The record is from RNAcentral.